This 278-nucleotide ribosomal RNA is filed under the name uncultured bacterium. RNAcentral's name for it is "partial 16S ribosomal RNA". It matches the Rfam family "Bacterial small subunit ribosomal RNA", at positions 335 to 606 of the family's 1533-position model. The record is from RNAcentral.
GGCCUACGGGGCGCAGCAGUAGGGAAUCUUCCACAAUGGACGAAAGUCUGAUGGAGCAACGCCGCGUGAGUGAAGAAGGGUUUCGGCUCGUAAAGCUCUGUUGGUAGUGAAGAAAGAUAGAGGUAGUAACUGGCCUUUAUUUGACGGUAAUUACUUAGAAAGUCACGGCUAACUACGUGCCAGCAGCCGCGGUAAUACGUAGGUGGCAAGCGUUGUCCGGAUUUAUUGGGUGUAAAGCGAGUGCAGGCGGUUCUCUAAGUCUGAUUUAGAAGCCUUCG